CUACGGGUGGCACCAGCUGCGAAUAUUUUACAAUGCACGAAAGUGUGAUAAAGCGAACCAAAGUGCUUAUCGUAUAGAUAAGCUUUUCUUCAGGGUAAAAAUCUGGAGGAAUAAGGACUGGGAAAGACCGGUGCCAGCCGCCGCGGUAAUACCGGCAGUUCGAGUGGCAUCCAACUUUAUUGGGUCUAAAACAUCCGUAGCUUGCUAUUUAAGUCUCUUGUGAAAUCCGACGUCUCAAGCGUUGGGCUUGCAGGAGAUACUGAAUAGCUAGAGAUCGGUAGGCGUAAGGAGUACGGCGAAGGUAGCGGUAAAAUGUGUUAAUCGUCGUUGGACUAACAAUUUGGCGAAGGCACCUUACGAGGACGAAUCUGACAGUGAGGGAUGAAGGCCAGGGGCGCAAAACGGAUUAGAUACCCCAGUAGUC
This 424-nucleotide ribosomal RNA is filed under the name uncultured archaeon. Its description in RNAcentral is "partial 16S ribosomal RNA". It matches the Rfam family "Archaeal small subunit ribosomal RNA", at positions 323 to 746 of the family's 1478-position model. The record is from RNAcentral.